RNAcentral lists this transfer RNA (66 nucleotides) under Dendostrea sandvichensis. RNAcentral's name for it is "tRNA-Gly". Lineage: Eukaryota; Metazoa; Mollusca; Bivalvia; Ostreida; Ostreidae. The record is from RNAcentral.
AUAUUUUUAGUAUAAAAAAGUACAUUUGCCUUCCAAGCAAAAAGCUUCUGUAAAAGAAAAAAUAUA